CGUGUAAGUAAAAGCUUAGCUAAGGUGAAACCGCGAAUGGCUCAUUAAAUCACACCUAAUCUACUGGAAAGUUAAACAGUUACUUGGAUAACUGAGCUAAUUGUUGAGCUAAUACAUGCGAAAAUCCCCGACGCAAGGAGGGGAGCUUUUAUUAGAUCAAAACCAGACGGCUUUCGGGCCGAAUCUCUCUGGUGACUCUGAAUAACUUUGGGCUGAUCGUAUUGCCUUGUGCAGACGACGUUUCCUUCGAAGGUGUGCCCUAUCAACUGUCGACUGUGAUAUAGACGCUCACAGUGGUUUUGACGGGUAACGGGGAAUCAGGGUUCGAUUCCGGAGAGGGAGCCUUAAAAACGGCUACCACAUCCAAGGAAGGCAGCAGGCACGCAAAUUACCCAAUGACCGAAGGUCGAGGUAGUGACGAAAAAUAACGAUACCGGACUCAUCCGAGGCCCGGUAAUUGGAAUGAGUACACUUUAAAACCGUUCCCGAGGAACAAUUGGAGGGCAAGUCUGGUGCCAGCAGCCGCGGUAAUUCCAGCUCCAAUAGCGUAUAUUAAAGUUGUUGUGGUUAAAAAGCUCGUAGUUGGAUCUCGGCGGGCAGCAGUCGGUGAGGACGAUUCCUAUACUGGCUUGUUUGCUCGUGUGUUGUGUCGGAGGCGGGCGAGUGCUCUUCACCGAGUGUUCGUCCGAGCCGGCAGGUUUACUUUGAAAAAAUUAGAGUGCUCAAAGCAAGCUCCACCGCUUGAAUAUUCGUGCAUGGAAUAAUAGAAUAGGAAGUCGUUUCUAUUUUGUUGGUUUUUCGGAAAUCGACUUAAUGAUUAAUAGGGACAGUCGGGGGCAUUUGUAUUCGAACGACAGAGGUGAAAUUCUUGGACCGUUUGAAGACAAACUACUGCGAAAGCAUUUGCCAAGAAUGUUUUCAUUAAUCAAGAACGAAAGUUAGAGUUUCGAAGGCGAUUAGAUACCGCCCUAGUUCUAACCAUAAACGAUGCCAGCUAGCGAUCUGCAGGCGUUUUUUUGACGACCCUGCAGGGAGCUUCCGGGAAACCAAAGCUUGUGGGUUCCAGGGGAAGUAUGGUUGCAAAGCUGAAACUUAAAGUAAUUGACGGAAGGGCACCACCAGAUGUGGAGCCUGUGGCUUAAUUUGACUCAACACGGGAAAUCUCACCAGGCCCGGACACAUGAAGGAUUGACAGAUUGAUAGCUCUUUCUUGAUUAUGUGGGUGGUGGUGCAUGGCCGUUCUUAGUUGGUGGAGUGAUUUGUCUGGUUAAUUCCGAUAACGAACGAGACUCUGUCCUGCUAACUAGUGUCCGAUUCCCCUUUCGAUCGGACAGUUCUUCUUAGAGGGACUGGUAGCUCUUAGCUACACGAGAUAGAGCAAUAACAGGUCUGUGAUGCCCUUAGAUGUUCUGGGCCGCACACGCGCUACACUGAAUAUAUCAGCUAGUUUUUCCCUCUCCGAGAGGUGCGGGUAAGCUGUUGAACCAUAUUCGUGGUAGGGAUUGGAGCUUGCAAUUGUUCUCCAUGAACCAGGAAUAUCCAGUAGAUGCAAGUCAUAAGCUUGCAUCGAUUACGUCCCUGCCCUUUGUACACACCGCCCGUCGCUACUACCGAUUGAGCGUUUUAGUGAGGACCUCGGACUGACGAGGGCGUGGUUAACGCCGUGCCCCCGUCGGAAAGACGUCCAAACUGUAGCGCUUAGAGGAAGUAAAAGUCGUAACAAGGUUUCCGUAGGUGAACCU
Molecule: ribosomal RNA, 1742 nt
Filed under: Pseudodiaptomus poplesia
Lineage: Eukaryota; Metazoa; Arthropoda; Copepoda; Calanoida; Pseudodiaptomidae
Description: SSU rRNA
Rfam family: Eukaryotic small subunit ribosomal RNA
Source: RNAcentral